RNAcentral lists this ribosomal RNA (419 nucleotides) under bacterium. RNAcentral's name for it is "partial 16S ribosomal RNA". It matches the Rfam family "Bacterial small subunit ribosomal RNA", at positions 355 to 776 of the family's 1533-position model. The record is from RNAcentral.
UGGGGGAUAUUGCACAAUGGGCGAAAGCCUGAUGCAGCGACGCCGCGUGGGGGAUGAAGGCCUUCGGGUUGUAAACUUCUUUUGCUCUGAACAAGGCAUGCUAAUGGGUGUGUUGAGUGUAGGGGUUGAUUAGCGCCGGCUAACUACUUGCCAGCAGCCGCGGUAAUACGUAGGGCGCGAGCGUUGUCCGGAAUUAUUGGGCGUAAAGGGCUUGUAGGUGGCUGGUUGCGUCUGUCGUGAAAGCUCAUGGCUUAACUGUGGGUUUGCGGUGGGUACGGGCUGGCUUGCAUGCACUAGGGGAGGCUGGAAUUCCUGGUGUAGCGGUGGAAUGCGCAGAUAUCAGGGGGAAUACAGGUGGCGAAGGCGGGUCUCUGGGCUGUUACUGACACUGAGGAGCGAAAGCAUGGGGAGCGAACAGG